Molecule: long non-coding RNA, 169 nt
Organism: Camponotus floridanus (Florida carpenter ant)
Lineage: Eukaryota; Metazoa; Arthropoda; Insecta; Hymenoptera; Formicidae
Exons: 2
Source: RefSeq, a predicted model, not a curated record
UAUGUUUGCGCGAGUGUGAGUGCCAUGAGGAAACAACAAAGGAUAAAUAAGAGAGAAAGAGGAAGUCCAAAGAAACAUCGAGCACUGACGAUGCAACUGUAUGAUCAACAUGUGUACUCUAUAACUACUAUAACUACUCUACUACUACCACCCCUUCGCUUUUGCGCGG